This 31-nucleotide non-coding RNA is filed under the name Homo sapiens (human). Lineage: Eukaryota; Metazoa; Chordata; Mammalia; Primates; Hominidae. The record is from RNAcentral.
UAGAGGUGAGAUCAAGCUGGGACAGGGUCUC